Molecule: ribosomal RNA, 492 nt
Filed under: uncultured bacterium
Lineage: Bacteria
Description: partial 16S ribosomal RNA
Rfam family: Bacterial small subunit ribosomal RNA
Source: RNAcentral
AGUGAACGCUGGCGGUAGGCCUAACACAUGCAAGUCGAACGGCAGCACAGUAAGAGCUUGCUCUUACGGGUGGCGAGUGGCGGACGGGUGAGGAAUACAUCGGAAUCUACUUUUUCGUGGGGGAUAACGUAGGGAAACUUACGCUAAUACCGCAUACGGCCUACGGGUGAAAGCAGGGGAUCUUCGGACCUUGCGCGAUUGAAUGAGCCGAUGUCGGAUUAGCUAGUUGGCGGGGUAAAGGCCCACCAAGGCGACGAUCCGUAGCUGGUCUGAGAGGAUGAUCAGCCACACUGGAACUGAGACACGGUCCAGACUCCUACGGGAGGCAGCAGUGGGGAAUAUUGGACAAUGGGCGCAAGCCUGAUCCAGCCAUACCGCGUGGGUGAAGAAGGCCUUCGGGCUGUAAAGCCCUUUUGUUGGGAAAGAAAAGCAGCAGGUUAAUACCCCGCUGUUCUGACGGUACCCAAAGAAUAAGCACCGGCUAACUUCGUG